RNAcentral lists this ribosomal RNA (327 nucleotides) under uncultured eukaryote. RNAcentral's name for it is "partial 18S ribosomal RNA". It matches the Rfam family "Eukaryotic small subunit ribosomal RNA", at positions 1470 to 1796 of the family's 1831-position model. The record is from RNAcentral.
CCCCUAGAUGUUCUGGGCCGCACGCGCGCUACACUGAACAGUUCAACAAGUUUUGUCCUUGGCUGAUAGGCCUGGGUAAUCUUUGAACGUGAAUCGUGAUGGGGAUAGAUGAUUGCAAUUAUUCAUCUUCAACGAGGAAUUCCUAGUAAACGCAAGUCAUCAGCUUGCAUUGAUUACGUCCCUGCCCUUUGUACACACCGCCCGUCGCACCUACCGAUUGAAUGGUCCGGUGAAAUCUUCGGAUCUGAGAGAUGUCUGAUUAAUUUCGGACGCCUUUUGGAAAAGUUGCUUAAACCUUACCAUUUAGAGGAAGGUGAAGUCGUAACA